This 1008-nucleotide long non-coding RNA is filed under the name Rattus norvegicus (Norway rat). Its description in RNAcentral is "long non-coding RNA NONRATT033589". Lineage: Eukaryota; Metazoa; Chordata; Mammalia; Rodentia; Muridae. The record is from RNAcentral.
CAUAAACUAUAUGGAUAAUAGGAAAGCAUGCAUUCAUUAAGUGAAUAGUGAGAGCCUAUAAUUGCAACAGAUGCAAAUCAGUUAGAUGAAAUGGUUACUAUACACUCAUAUAGAAAAUUAAUUCCAACAGUGAUAAUCAUUAUUAUCUGAAAUUCAUCAUCAGGAGAGAAGCAUAUUGGAAUAUUAACCAAAGCCUCUGCACAUACUGAAAUUUGAAGCUUCCUUAUAUUCACCCCAUUACCCCAGUUCAUUCUUAAUGUGCUGCAUCUCCCAGAGAGGAAGAAGUAAUUGUCAUAGCUCCAAUUAUCAGUUUCUCCUCCAACCCCUGGAAUCAUUUCAGGAUUUACCUUCAUCAUUCCACUACUUAGCCAGAGUUCCAAUUCCUGUCUGCUGGACAGCUCUUAACUGACUCUGCCCUAAAAUCCAAGCUCUAAUGGGAAUGGCUGAGAUAAUGAGAUCUACAGUGUCAACAACUUGAUGAUGAGCAUGAGAAUAGUGGAACCACAAAUCCCCGGAACUCUGCAGCCUGACAGCAGCAGUCCCUGACAAUUCCCUGAAAACUUUCUUUUUGAUACAGCUUGUGUAAAAAAAUAAACAGAAGCAGGUGUCUCACAGAAAGACAUGUGUGUUCUAUUCCAGACUUACAACUGCCAUCUAUCAUUCUUGUCAGGCUAAUCCUAAGCUGAAGUCCAGAACAUCCCAAACAAAUAAGUACAGGCUUUUUCUACAAAGAAAUAACACACACAGCUUCAAAAUACAGAACUUAUUAACACAACACUUGAGAAAUGGUUGAAGAUCAUAAACGAUUGAAAUUACUGUGAUUGAUUAGGACCAGGGAGGGAUAGCUUUGUGUGGGACUGGAAAUGUUACCAGUGAGGAGCUCUAUUCUCGUAUCAAUACUGGAACUUGUAUUCAGGAUGACAGUCAAUUAGGAAUAGUCAUAGAAUUAUUUACAAAAAGUUACAUAGAGCUAAUGAAGCAGAGACUUUUGUGUGGUACUAAAGAAAG